Molecule: ribosomal RNA, 1020 nt
Filed under: uncultured bacterium
Lineage: Bacteria
Description: bacterial SSU rRNA
Rfam family: Bacterial small subunit ribosomal RNA
Source: RNAcentral
AGAGUUUGAUUAUGGCUCAGGAUGAACGCUAGCGGCAGGCCUAACACAUGCAAGUCGAGGGGCAGCACAGGUAGCAAUACUGGGUGGCGACCGGCGCACGGGUGCGUAACACGUAUGCAACCUACCUUGAACCGGGGAAUAACCCGAAGAAAUUCGGACUAAUACCCCAUGGCCCUUAGGGAUGGCAUCAUUUCUAAGGUAAAGAUUUAUCAGUUCAAGAUGGGCAUGCGUCCUAUUAGCCAGUUGGCGGGGUAACGGCCCACCAAAGCUACGAUAGGUAGGGGUUCUGAGAGGAAGGUCCCCCACACUGGUACUGAGACACGGACCAGACUCCUACGGGAGGCAGCAGUGAGGAAUAUUGGUCAAUGGGCGCAAGCCUGAACCAGCCAUGCCGCGUGCAGGAUGACGGCCCUACGGGUUGUAAACUGCUUUUGUACGAGGGCAAACCCUUCCUUGCGAGGAAGGUUGAGAGUAUCGUACGAAUAAGGAUCGGCUAACUCCGUGCCAGCAGCCGCGGUAAUACGGAGGAUCCGAGCGUUAUCCGGAUUUAUUGGGUUUAAAGGGUGCGUAGGCGGCUUGGCAAGUCAGCGGUGAAAUGGCGGGGCUCAACCCCACCAGUGCCGUUGAUACUACCGAGCUUGAGUACGGGUGAAGCUGGCGGAAUGUGCAGUGUAGCGGUGAAAUGCAUAGAUAUUGCACAGAAGGCCGAUUGCGAAGGCAGCUGGCUAACCCGGAACUGACGCUGAGGCACGAAAGCGUGGGGAUCAAACAGGAUUAGAUACCCUGGUAGUCCACGCCGUAAACGAUGAUAGCUCGCUGCCGGCGAUACACAGUCGGUGGCUUAGCGAAAGCGGUAAGCUAUCCACCUGGGGAGUACGGCCGCAAGGCUGAAACUCAAAGGAAUUGACGGGGGCCCGCACAAGCGGAGGAACAUGUGGUUUAAUUCGAUGAUACGCGAGGAACCUUACCCGGGCUCGAACGGCUAGUGAAUAUGGAGGAAACUUCAUAGCUAGCAUAGCA